UAUAUUUCAUGAUUAGAUCUAUCCUACAUUUGAACUUUUAAAUCAGAAACCGUAGAGUUUAUAUCUUGAAUGUACUAUUGUCAAGGGGGAUUCCAGAUCCCUACACCAUCUUAAUCUAUCCAAACUUCGAUUCUCUGUUUACUGAUUUAUUUUCUAUUUGCAAAACAUCAUCUUAAUCCACAAAUUUAUUGAAUUAAUUAAUCUAAAAUUAUAUUAAAUAAUCUCACAUAUAUUUCGUUCCCUGAGGAUUCGACCUCGGACUUCCGAGAAUUUACUACUUAUGCGAUUCUCCUGCACUUGGAAGAUUAGUUUCGCUAAAGCAUUUUUGCGAACGCGUCACCUAGGAGAGCAAAAGACAAACAAUCGUAAAUUAUUUUAAGGAUAGAAGCCUGUCCGGGGCUUUUGUUAACUCAGGAGCAUAGGCGAGUUCGGGGACAAGCAACCUCCUGGAAGCAGGAAUCCGCUCAAGGGCCGAGGCCAACUCGAGACUUAGAAAUUCGUCCGAGAGCCGAAGCCACCUCGGAAAUAAGGGCCGAAGCCACCUCGAGACUUAGAAAUUCACCCGAGAAGCCGAAGCCACCUCGGGAAUAAGAAGUUCGGGGAUAAACAUCUAUCC
Molecule: long non-coding RNA, 616 nt
Filed under: Phoenix dactylifera (date palm)
Lineage: Eukaryota; Viridiplantae; Streptophyta; Magnoliopsida; Arecales; Arecaceae
Description: long non-coding RNA (PDAC_LNC020580)
Source: RNAcentral